This 247-nucleotide ribosomal RNA is filed under the name uncultured bacterium. RNAcentral describes it as "partial 16S ribosomal RNA". It matches the Rfam family "Bacterial small subunit ribosomal RNA", at positions 523 to 769 of the family's 1533-position model. The record is from RNAcentral.
AUACGGAGGGUCCGAGCGUUAUCCGGAUUUAUUGGGUUUAAAGGGUGCGUAGGCGGUUUUAUAAGUCAGCGGUGAAAUUUUCCGGCUCAACCGGGAUACUGCCGUUGAUACUGUAAGGCUAGGAUAUGGUUGCUGUGGGUGGAAUGUGUGGUGUAGCGGUGAAAUGCUUAGAGAUCAUACAGAACACCGAUUGCGAAGGCAGCUUACCAAACUAUAUCUGACGUUGAGGCACGAAAGCGUGGGUAGC